This 482-nucleotide ribosomal RNA is filed under the name uncultured bacterium. RNAcentral's name for it is "bacterial SSU rRNA". It matches the Rfam family "Bacterial small subunit ribosomal RNA", at positions 28 to 526 of the family's 1533-position model. The record is from RNAcentral.
GAUCAACGCUGGCGGCGUGCCUAAUGCAUGCAAGUCGAGCGGGGUGAUCUUCGGAUCACUUACGCGGCGGACGGGUGCGGAACACGUGGGCAACCUGCCCCGGGGUGGGGGAUAGCCGAGGGAAACUUCGGGUAAUUCCGCAUACGGUCGGCUCCUGGUGGGGAGCUGAGGAAAGGGUCUUCGGACCCGCCCUGGGAGGGGCCUGCGGCCGAUUAGCUAGACGGUGGGGUAACGGCCUACCGUGGCGACGAUCGGUAGCUGGUCUGAGAGGACGGCCAGCCACACGGGGACUGAGACACGGCCCCGACUCCUACGGGAGGCAGCAGCAAGGAAUCUUCCGCAAUGGGCGAAAGCCUGACGGAGCAACGCCGCGUGUGGGAUGACGCCUUUCGGGGUGUAAACCACUUUUCUCAGGGAAGAAGCACUGACGGUACCUGAGGAAGAAGGACCGGCUAACUACGUGCCAGCAGCCGCAGUAAAAC